CCUACGGGAGGCAGCAGUGAGGAAUAUUGGUCAAUGGCCGGAAGUCUGAACCAGCCAAGUAGCGUGCGGGAUGAAGGUCCUAUGGAUUGUAAACUGCUUUUGCACGGGGAUAACACCCUCCUCUUGAGCCGGACUGAAGGUACUGUGAGAAUAAGCGUCGGCUAAUUCCGUGCCAGCAGCCGCGGUAAUACGGAGGACGCGAGCGUUAUCCGGAGUUAUUGGGCUUAAAGGGAGCGUAGGCGGACGUUCAAGUCAGCGGUAAAAUCCCGGGGCUCAACCCCGGCCGGCAGUUGAAACUGGAUGCCUUGAGAUCACGACAGGUAUGCGGAAUUCGUAGUGUAGCGGUGAAAUGCUUAGAUAUCACGAGGAACCCCGAUUGCGAAGGCAGCCUGCCGGGGGGCGUCUGACGCUGAGGCACGAAAGUGCGGGUAUCAAACAGGAUUAGAUACCCCGGUAGUC
This 459-nucleotide ribosomal RNA is filed under the name uncultured bacterium. Its description in RNAcentral is "partial 16S ribosomal RNA". It matches the Rfam family "Bacterial small subunit ribosomal RNA", at positions 338 to 795 of the family's 1533-position model. The record is from RNAcentral.